CCAGACUCCUACGGGAGGCAGCAGUGAGGAAUAUUGGUCAAUGGCCGAGAGGCUGAACCAGCCAAGUCGCGUGAGGGAAGACGGCCCUACGGGUUGUAAACCUCUUUUGUCGGGGAGCAAAGCGAACCACGUGUGGUUCACUGAGAGUACCCGAAGAAAAAGCAUCGGCUAACUCCGUGCCAGCAGCCGCGGUAAUACGGAGGAUGCGAGUGUUAUCCGGAUUUAUUGGGUUUAAAGGGUGCGCAGGCGGUGUUGUUAGACCGGGGACAAAGCCCGGGGCCCACCCCCCGGCCCGCCGUUGAAACUGGCAGUCUCGAGUUGGAGAGAAGUAUGCGGAAUGCGCGGUGUAGCGGUGAAAUGCAUAGAUAUCGCGCAGAACUCCGAUUGCGAAGGCAGCAUACCGGCGCGCAACUGACGCUCAUGCACGAAAGCGUGGGUAUCGAACAGGAUUAGAUACCCCAGUAC
RNAcentral lists this ribosomal RNA (465 nucleotides) under uncultured bacterium. RNAcentral describes it as "bacterial SSU rRNA". It matches the Rfam family "Bacterial small subunit ribosomal RNA", at positions 331 to 793 of the family's 1533-position model. The record is from RNAcentral.